Molecule: unclassified non-coding RNA, 240 nt
Filed under: soil metagenome
Description: partial contains 5.8S ribosomal RNA, internal transcribed spacer 2, and large subunit ribosomal RNA
Source: RNAcentral
AACGCACGAGACCUGCGGACCUGCGGAGGGAUCAUUAAUGAAACUUCAGUCGGCUUGUUACCUGUGCUGGUGGGCCCCCACAUGUGCACGUUAACAGGUCGCAUAUCCUCACACCUGUGCAUCCUAUGACUCCAAGUCACCCUUUGCAUGCACUUUUGUAGGCUGGCUGGCUGGUGACUUGAGAGUACUUUUACAUACUCUUGAAUGUAAUGGAAAGUCUGUUGUGCAUAAUGUGCAAUC